This 398-nucleotide ribosomal RNA is filed under the name uncultured bacterium. RNAcentral's name for it is "partial 16S ribosomal RNA". It matches the Rfam family "Bacterial small subunit ribosomal RNA", at positions 523 to 918 of the family's 1533-position model. The record is from RNAcentral.
AUACGUAGGGUGCGAGCGUUGUCCGGAAUUACUGGGCGUAAAGAGCUCGUAGGUGGUUUGUCGCGUCGUCUGUGAAAUUCCGGGGCUUAACUCCGGGCGUGCAGGCGAUACGGGCAUAACUUGAGUACUGUAGGGGAGACUGGAAUUCCUGGUGUAGCGGUGAAAUGCGCAGAUAUCAGGAGGACCACCGGGGGCGAAGGCGGGUCUGCGGGAAGUAACUGCCGAUGGGAAGCGAAAGCUUGGGUUGCUAACAGGUUUAGAUCCCCUGGUAGUCCUUGCCGUAAACGGUGGGCGCUAGGUGGAGGGGUCUUCCACGCCUUCUGUGUCUUAGUUAACGCAUUAAGCGCCCCUCCUGGGGAGUAAGGCCGCAAGGCUAAAACGCAAAUGAAUGGUCGGGG